Molecule: ribosomal RNA, 291 nt
Filed under: Tarentola boehmei
Lineage: Eukaryota; Metazoa; Chordata; Lepidosauria; Squamata; Phyllodactylidae
Description: partial 12S ribosomal RNA
Source: RNAcentral
GCUCAAAACUCAAAGGACUUGACGGUGUCCCAAACCAACCUAGAGGAGCCUGUCCUAUAAUCGAUACUCCACGCUACACCUUACCCCCCCUCGAAACCAGUCUGUAUACCGCCGUCUACCAGUUCGCCUUAUGAUAGACCCAUAGCGAACACAACAGCCCACCACUCAGACGCCAGGUCAAGGUGCAACCAAUGGGGGGGCAGCGAUGGGCUACAUUUUCUACCAAUCAGAGCAAUACCACCCACCACAUGAAACAUGGGCCAAAAGGCGGAUUUAGCAGUAAGCUAGACA